RNAcentral lists this ribosomal RNA (777 nucleotides) under uncultured bacterium. RNAcentral describes it as "bacterial SSU rRNA". It matches the Rfam family "Bacterial small subunit ribosomal RNA", at positions 59 to 806 of the family's 1533-position model. The record is from RNAcentral.
UGGCCCACUGAUUGAUGGUGCUUGCACCUGAUUGACGAUGGAUCACCAGUGAGUGGCGGACGGGUGAGUAACACGUAGGUAACCUGCCCCAGAGCGGGGGAUGACAUUUGGAAACAGAUGCUAAUACCGCAUAACAACAAAAGCCACAUGGCUUUUGUUUGAAAGAUGGCUUUGGCUAUCACUCUGGGAUGGACCUGCGGUGCAUUAGCUAGUUGGUAAGGUAACGGCUUACCAAGGCGAUGAUGCAUAGCCGAGUUGAGAGACUGAUCGGCCACAAUGGAACUGAGACACGGUCCAUACUCCUACGGGAGGCAGCAGUAGGGAAUCUUCCACAAUGGGCGCAAGCCUGAUGGAGCAACACCGCGUGAGUGAAGAAGGGUUUCGGCUCGUAAAGCUCUGUUGUUGGAGAAGAACGUGCGUGAGAGUAACUGUUCACGCAGUGACGGUAUCCAACCAGAAAGUCACGGCUAACUACGUGCCAGCAGCCGCGGUAAUACGUAGGUGGCGAGCGUUAUCCGGAUUUAUUGGGCGUAAAGCGAGCGCAGGCGGUUGCUUAGGUCUGAUGUGAAAGCCUUCGGCUUAACCGAAGAAGUGCAUCGGAAACCGGGCGACUUGAGUGCAGAAGAGGACAGUGGAACUCCAUGUGUAGCGGUGGAAUGCGUAGAUAUAUGGAAGAACACCAGUGGCGAAGGCGGCUGUCUGGUCUGCAACUGACGCUGAGGCUCGAAAGCAUGGGUAGCGAACAGGAUUAGAUACCCUGGUAGUCCAUGCUGUAAA